RNAcentral lists this unclassified non-coding RNA (718 nucleotides) under Hevea brasiliensis (rubber tree). Lineage: Eukaryota; Viridiplantae; Streptophyta; Magnoliopsida; Malpighiales; Euphorbiaceae. The record is from RNAcentral.
GCACACUCUGCUAGUUCAGUUCAUGGGAUCUUAAAAUUGUUCCAGUAAAAUUUGUUGCGAGUCCCGAAGAAUAAUCAGGAAGGUAACUAGUGAAGUACAAAAACUAAGCCAUUUGAGAAUAUAAUACACAAAAGGGUGUUCCACCACCACCUCCACUGCCAUGCACAUCUGCUAGCUAGUAGGAAGCAGCAGCAGCAGCAUCACCCACUGCCACAUGAUUCCCACAGAGCCACAUGAUUUUGUUUUUAAGGCAUUCCAUAACUUUCUUUAGCUACAAAAAAAGUAAAAAGAAAACCAAAGACAAAAUAAUCAUUAAUCAGCAAACAGUUUGCCAUUCACGAGCCAGUGACCUCUAAAAGCAUAUUUUGACGAUUUCAAACUGUCUUCUUAAUUAAGGACAGUGAACCUCAUAUCCUGCACAUGUGAUCCUCCCCAGUAUAUCAAUUUCCAAUACCUCAAAACAAGAAUGAGAACCAGACCCCUACGUAUGAUCAAUCAACAUAUAAAAUAGAAAAUUGUCGCUGUCUUUGGUAACAACAGGCAAAGGCAAUCAUGUUGUUGGCUCUAACGUGUUGCAGUUCUGGGUUUCAAGAAAUGUUUUAUCCGAGUACUGCAACAAAGUCCCUUGAUCCAAUCAAAGCAAAGCCUGAAAUUAAUGAGUUUGUUCUUACUCUUUUCUCUGUAGCCAUCCAAACUUCCAUGCAUACAUUCCAAAGAA